Molecule: ribosomal RNA, 446 nt
Filed under: uncultured organism
Description: partial 16S ribosomal RNA
Rfam family: Bacterial small subunit ribosomal RNA
Source: RNAcentral
ACACUCCUGCGGGAGGCAGCAGUGGGGAAUAUUGGACAAUGGGCGCAAGCCUGAUCCAGCCAUGCCGCGUGAGUGAUGAAGGCCCUAGGGUUGUAAAGCUCUUUCACCGGUGAAGAUAAUGACGGUAACCGGAGAAGAAGCCCCGGCUAACUUCGUGCCAGCAGCCGCGGUAAUACGAAGGGGGCUAGCGUUGUUCGGAUUUACUGGGCGUAAAGCGCACGUAGGCGGACUAUUAAGUCAGGGGUGAAAUCCCGGGGCUCAACCCCGGAACUGCCUUUGAUACUGGUAGUCUUGAGUUCGAGAGAGGUGAGUGGAAUUCCGAGUGUAGGGGUGAAAUUCGUAGAUAUUCGGAGGAACACCAGUGGCGAAGGCGGCUCACUGGCUCGAUACUGACGCUGAGGUGCGAAAGCGUGGGGAGCAAACAGGAUUAGAAACCCGUGUAGUCC